CCCGGCAUCGGGAUAUGGUUAAAGCCUUCGGGCGGUACAAGAUGGCCAUGCGUCCCAUUAGUUUGUUGGUAAGGUAACGGCUUACCAAGACUACGAUGGGUAGGGGCCCUGAGAGGGGGAUCCCCCACACUGGUACUGAGACACGGACCAGACUCCUACGGGAGGCAGCAGUGAGGAAUAUUGGACAAUGGAGGAGACUCUGAUCCAGCCAUGCCGCGUGCAGGAAGAAUGCCCUAUGGGUAGUAAACUGCUUUUAUACGGGAAGAAAAAGAGCUACGUGUAGCUUACUGACGGUACCGUAAGAAUAAGGACCGGCUAACUCCGUGCCAGCAGCCGCGGUAAUACGGAGGGUCCGAGCGUUAUCCGGAAUUAUUGGGUUUAAAGGGUCCGUAGGCGGGCCGAUAAGUCAGGGGUGAAAGUCUGCCGCUCAACGGUAGAACUGCCUUUGAUACUGUCGGUCUUGAGUUAUAGUGAAGUUGCCGGAAUAUGUAGUGUAGCGGUGAAAUGCAUAGAUAUUACAUAGAACACCGAUUGCGAAGGCAGGUGACUAACUAUAUACUGACGCUGAUGGACGAAAGCGUGGGGAGCGAACAGGAUUAGAUACCCUGGUAGUCCACGCCGUAAACGAUGGAUACUAGCUGUCCGGAACCUUGAGUUCUGGGCGGCCAAGCGAAAGUGAUAAGUAUCCCACCUGGGGAGUACGUUCGCAAGAAUGAAACUCAAAGGAAUUGACGGGGGCCCGCACAAGCGGUGGAGCAUGUGGUUUAAUUCGAUGAUACGCGAGGAACCUUACCAGGGCUUAAAUGCAUAUUGACAGGUCUAGAGAUAGAUUUUCCUUCGGGCAAUUUGCAAGGUGCUGCAUGGUUGUCGUCAGCUCGUGCCGUGAGGUGUCAGGUUAAGUCCUAUAACGAGCGCAACCCCUACCGUUAGUUGCCAGCAUGUCAUGAUGGGGACUCUAACGGGACUGCCGGUGCAAACCGUGAGGAAGGUGGGGAUGACGUCAAAUCAUCACGGCCCUUACGUCCUGGGCCACACACGUGCUACAAUGGCAGGUACAGAGAGCAGCCAUGUCGCAAGGCAGAGCGAAUCUAUAAAACCU
RNAcentral lists this ribosomal RNA (1099 nucleotides) under Maribacter sp. Hel_I_57. RNAcentral describes it as "bacterial SSU rRNA". It matches the Rfam family "Bacterial small subunit ribosomal RNA", at positions 184 to 1284 of the family's 1533-position model. Lineage: Bacteria; Pseudomonadati; Bacteroidota; Flavobacteriia; Flavobacteriales; Flavobacteriaceae. The record is from RNAcentral.